This 305-nucleotide ribosomal RNA is filed under the name uncultured bacterium. RNAcentral describes it as "partial 16S ribosomal RNA". It matches the Rfam family "Bacterial small subunit ribosomal RNA", at positions 505 to 807 of the family's 1533-position model. The record is from RNAcentral.
ACAGCAGUAGCCACGGUAAUACGGAGGGUGCAAGCGUUAUCCGGAUUUAUUGGGUUUAAAGGGUCCGUAGGCGGAUCUGUAAGUCAGUGGUGAAAUCUCACAGCUUAACUGUGAAACUGCCAUUGAUACUGCAGGUCUUGAGUAAAUUUGAAGUGGCUGGAAUAAGUAGUGUAGCGGUGAAAUGCAUAGAUAUUACUUAGAACACCAAUUGCGAAGGCAGGUCACUAAGAUUUAACUGACGCUGAUGGACGAAAGCGUGGGGAGCGAACAGGAUUAGAUACCCCGGUAGUCCCUGUCUCUUAUAC